GAUGAACGCUGGCGGCGUGCCUAAUACAUGCAAGUCGAGCGAACAGACGAGGAGCUUGCUCCUCUUACGUUAGCGGCGGACGGGUGAGUAACACGUGGAUAACCUACCUAUAAGACUGGGAUAACUUCGGGAAACCGGAGCUAAUACCGGAUAAUAUAUUGAACCGCAUGGUUCAAUAGUGAAAGACGGUUUUGCUGUCACUUAUAGAUGGAUCCGCGCCGCAUUAGCUAGUUGGUAAGGUAACGGCUUACCAAGGCAACGAUGCGUAGCCGACCUGAGAGGGUGAUCGGCCACACUGGAACUGAGAAACGGUCCAGACUCCUACGGGAGGCAGCAGUAGGGAAUCUUCCGCAAUGGGCGAAAGCCUGACGGAGCAACGCCGCGUGAGUGAUGAGGGUCUUCGGAUCGUAAAACUCUGUUAUUAGGGAAGAACAAAUGUGUAAGUAACUAUGCACGUCUUGACGGUACCUAAUCAGAAAGCCACGGCUAACUACGUG
Molecule: ribosomal RNA, 497 nt
Filed under: uncultured bacterium
Lineage: Bacteria
Description: partial 16S ribosomal RNA
Rfam family: Bacterial small subunit ribosomal RNA
Source: RNAcentral